GUAAGAAUAACUCAGUUGGUUAGAGUAUUAGUUUGUGGAUUUAAGAGUCAUGGGUUCGAAUCCCAUUUUUUGCC
This 74-nucleotide transfer RNA is filed under the name Kordiimonadales bacterium. RNAcentral's name for it is "tRNA-His". It matches the Rfam family "tRNA". From Rfam's summary of the family: Transfer RNA (tRNA) molecules are approximately 80 nucleotides in length. Their secondary structure includes four short double-helical elements and three loops (D, anti-codon, and T loops). Lineage: Bacteria; Pseudomonadati; Pseudomonadota; Alphaproteobacteria; Kordiimonadales. The record is from RNAcentral.